RNAcentral lists this unclassified non-coding RNA (253 nucleotides) under uncultured Bacillaceae bacterium. RNAcentral describes it as "contains 16S-23S intergenic spacer region". It matches the Rfam family "Bacterial small subunit ribosomal RNA", at positions 524 to 776 of the family's 1533-position model. The record is from RNAcentral. Lineage: Bacteria; Bacillati; Bacillota; Bacilli; Caryophanales; Bacillaceae.
UACGUAGGUGGCUAGCGUUGUCCGGAAUUAUUGGGCGUAAAGCGCGCGCAGGCGGUUUCUUAAGUCUGAUGUGAAAGCCCCCGGCUCAACCGGGGAGGGUCAUUGGAAACUGGGAAACUUGAGUGCAGAAGAGGAGAGUGGAAUUCCACGCGUAGCGGUGAAAUGCGUAGAGAUGUGGAGGAACACCAGUGGCGAAAGCGACUCUCUGGUCUAUAACUGACGCUGAGGCGCGAAAGCGUGGGGAGCGAACAGG